AGUCGAGGGGUAACGGGGUGCUUGCACCGCCGACGACCGGCGCACGGGUGCGUAACGCGUAUACAAUCUACCUUGUAGAGGGGAAUAGCCCAGAGAAAUUUGGAUUAAUGCCCCAUAGUAUUAUUAGAUAGCAUUAUUUAAUAAUUAAACAUUUAUGGCUACAAGAUGAGUAUGCGUUCUAUUAGUUAGUAGGUAAGGUAACGGCUUACCUAGACUUCGAUAGAUAGGGGUCCUGAGAGGGAGAUCCCCCACACUGGUACUGAGACACGGACCAGACUCCUACGGGAGGCAGCAGUGAGGAAUAUUGGACAAUGGGCGAGAGCCUGAUCCAGCCAUGCCGCGUGCAGGAAGACGGCCCUAUGGGUUGUAAACUGCUUUUAUAGAGGAAGAAACCUCCCGACGUGUCGGGACUUGACGGUACUCUACGAAUAAGGAUCGGCUAACUCCGUGCCAGCAGCCGCGGUAAUACGGAGGAUCCAAGCGUUAUCCGGAAUCAUUGGGUUUAAAGGGUCCGUAGGCGGGACAAUCAGUCAGCGGUGAAAGUCUGUGGCUCAACCAUAGAAUUGCCAUUGAUACUGUUGUUCUUGAAUACUUAUGAAGUGGUUGGAAUAUGUAGUGUAGCGGUGAAAUGCAUAGAUAUUACAUAGAACACCGAUUGCGAAGGCAGAUCACUAAUAAGUCAUUGACGCUGAUGGACGAAAGCGUAGGU
Molecule: ribosomal RNA, 709 nt
Filed under: uncultured bacterium
Lineage: Bacteria
Description: bacterial SSU rRNA
Rfam family: Bacterial small subunit ribosomal RNA
Source: RNAcentral